Molecule: ribosomal RNA, 346 nt
Filed under: uncultured bacterium
Lineage: Bacteria
Description: partial 16S ribosomal RNA
Rfam family: Bacterial small subunit ribosomal RNA
Source: RNAcentral
CCUACGGGGUGCUGCAGUGGGGAAUAUUGGGCAAUGGGCGCAAGCCUGACCCAGCAACGCCGCGUGAAGGAAGAAGGCUCUCGGGUUGUAAACCUCCUUUUAGAGGGAAGAGUAGAAGACGGUACCUCUUGAAUAAGCCACGGCUAACUACGUGCCAGCAGCCGCGGUAAUACGUAGGUGGCAAGCGUUGUCCGGAUUUACUGGGUGUAAAGGGCGUGUAGCCGGGCCGGGAAGUCAGAUGUGAAAUCCCAAGGCUCAACCUUGGAACUGCAUUUGAAACUGUUGGUCUUGAGUUUCGCAGAGGCAGGCGGAAUUCCUGGUGUAGCGGUGAAAUGCGUAGAGAUUA